GGAAGCGUCGCAUAGUGGUUAAUUGCACUGGUCUUGAAAACCAGAGCCGAAAGGCUUCGUGGGUUCGAAUCCCACCGCUUCCG
RNAcentral lists this transfer RNA (83 nucleotides) under Candidatus Woesebacteria bacterium. RNAcentral describes it as "tRNA-Ser". It matches the Rfam family "tRNA". Rfam says of the family: Transfer RNA (tRNA) molecules are approximately 80 nucleotides in length. Their secondary structure includes four short double-helical elements and three loops (D, anti-codon, and T loops). Further hydrogen bonds mediate the characteristic L-shaped molecular structure. tRNAs have two regions of fundamental functional importance: the anti-codon, which is responsible for specific mRNA codon recognition, and the 3' end, to which the tRNAs corresponding amino acid is attached (by aminoacyl-tRNA synthetases). tRNAs cope with the degeneracy of the genetic code in two manners: having more than one tRNA (with a specific anti-codon) for a particular amino acid; and 'wobble' base-pairing, i.e. permitting non-standard base-pairing at the 3rd anti-codon position. Lineage: Bacteria; Candidatus Woeseibacteriota. The record is from RNAcentral.